Molecule: ribosomal RNA, 322 nt
Filed under: uncultured bacterium
Lineage: Bacteria
Description: partial 16S ribosomal RNA
Rfam family: Bacterial small subunit ribosomal RNA
Source: RNAcentral
GGGGAAUAUUGGACAAUGGGGGCAACCCUGAUCCAGCAAUGCCGCGUGUGUGAAGAAGGUUUUCGGAUUGUAAAGCACUUUCGACGGGGACGAUGAUGACGGUACCCGUAGAAGAAGCCCCGGCUAACUUCGUGCCAGCAGCCGCGGUAAUACGAAGGGGGCUAGCGUUGCUCGGAAUGACUGGGCGUAAAGGGCGUGUAGGCGGUUUGUACAGUCAGAUGUGAAAUCCCCGGGCUUAACCUGGGAGCUGCAUUUGAUACGUGCAGACUAGAGUGUGAGAGAGGGUUGUGGAAUUCCCAGUGUAGAGGUGAAAUUCGUAGAU